GUCGGGUGUGGUGGUGCACACCUGUAAUCCCAGCAACUCAGAAGACUGAGACAGGAGGAUCAUAAAUUCCAAAGUAGCUUCAGCAACUUAGCAAGGCCCUAAGCACCUUAGUGAGACUCUGUCUCAA
RNAcentral lists this small RNA (127 nucleotides) under Marmota monax (woodchuck). The record is from RNAcentral. Lineage: Eukaryota; Metazoa; Chordata; Mammalia; Rodentia; Sciuridae.